CUGCUUCAAACGCUGGCAAUGGCAGUCCUCCACAGGAGUGGCCUAGUCGCUGGUGCUACCUGAAGACUUAAACCUACUGAGCCUGAACCUCCGAGAGGUCACCAUCUUCUCAUUUUAAGAUGCUGCUUCUAAGGAAGGACAAAGCUCAUGACGUUAAGUUUAAGGGGAAGCAAACAGCACUCACGUCUGCAUCAUCCAGGGCCAUGUUCCUGACCUUGUUUGCAGCAGAAACUCCCAUCUGGAAGUGCAAAGGUCCUACCCUGACCCUGUCCAAAGUCUUCCAGCGGGGAGGUCUGGAGUUCAAGUGUGGUUUCAUUGCCAAAAACAACUCCCAGAAAAGCAGCCAGCAGUUCCCAGAGUAAAAUGACAGGGUCUGGCAUGCAGGAGGUAUGUGGUAACAGGAUGGCACUUUGUGAUGGAUUCGGCUGCUGGAGGAAGAAACAGGCCCACAAGCGCAGAUGCUCACAGCUAUAAUCCCAGUACUUUGAAAAGGUGAGGUAGGAUGAUCACUUGACCCCAGGAGUUC
Molecule: long non-coding RNA, 526 nt
Filed under: Rhinopithecus roxellana (golden snub-nosed monkey)
Lineage: Eukaryota; Metazoa; Chordata; Mammalia; Primates; Cercopithecidae
Description: lncRNA (ENSRROG00000045968.1)
Source: RNAcentral